AAUAAUCAAUUGCGCUACUGCAGCACAGGACUGAUCACCGAAUACUAAUUAUUUGAAUCAGAUGAAACAACCAGUAGUUGAAGCAUAGUACUUUCACAGACAGCCUCACACCCAAACUUCUCUACCAUCAUGUAAAUAUGUGAACCAAAAUUUACC
Molecule: long non-coding RNA, 156 nt
Organism: Ipomoea nil (Japanese morning glory)
Lineage: Eukaryota; Viridiplantae; Streptophyta; Magnoliopsida; Solanales; Convolvulaceae
Exons: 3
Source: RefSeq, a predicted model, not a curated record